GAAUUCCCGGUGUAGCGGUGAAAUGCGUAGAGAUCGGGAGGAAUACCAGUGGCGAAGGCGGCCUUCUGGACUGACACUGACGCUGAGGUGCGAAAGCGUGGGUAGCAAACAGGAUUAGAUACCCUGGUAGUCCACGCCGUAAACGAUGUCGACUA
RNAcentral lists this ribosomal RNA (155 nucleotides) under Halomonas ventosae. Its description in RNAcentral is "partial 16S ribosomal RNA". It matches the Rfam family "Bacterial small subunit ribosomal RNA", at positions 664 to 818 of the family's 1533-position model. The record is from RNAcentral. Lineage: Bacteria; Pseudomonadati; Pseudomonadota; Gammaproteobacteria; Oceanospirillales; Halomonadaceae.